AACGCACAUUGCGCCCCCUGGCAUUCCGGAGGGCAUGCCUGUCCGAGCGUCAUUACAACCUUCAAGCUCUGCUUGGUCAUGGGUGCCAUCUCCGGCAGAUGCGCCUGGAAAUUAGCGGCUGUGCUGACCCGUCCCCGAGCGCAUUAAAUUAAAACUCGCUACGGAUUGGAUGGGUGAAGCCCAGGCCGACAAGACGACGGUGUCUGCGGACACUCGACCAAUUGACCUCGGAUCAGGUAGGAAUACCCGCUGAACUUAA
Molecule: unclassified non-coding RNA, 259 nt
Filed under: uncultured fungus
Lineage: Eukaryota; Fungi
Description: partial contains 5.8S ribosomal RNA, internal transcribed spacer 2, and large subunit ribosomal RNA
Source: RNAcentral